GGCGGUAUAGCUCAGCCUGGUAGAGCGACGGAUUCAUAACCCGUAGGUCGGGAGCUCAAAUCUCCCUACCGCCA
This 74-nucleotide transfer RNA is filed under the name Candidatus Woesearchaeota archaeon. Its description in RNAcentral is "tRNA-Met". It matches the Rfam family "tRNA". From Rfam's summary of the family: Transfer RNA (tRNA) molecules are approximately 80 nucleotides in length. Their secondary structure includes four short double-helical elements and three loops (D, anti-codon, and T loops). The record is from RNAcentral. Lineage: Archaea; Nanobdellati; Candidatus Woesearchaeota.